GCCCCGGUAGCUCAGUUGGAUAGAGCGGCAGCCUUCUAAGCUGUAGGCCACAGGUUCGACUCCUGUCCGGGGCACCA
Molecule: transfer RNA, 77 nt
Filed under: Candidatus Peribacteria bacterium RIFOXYA1_FULL_56_14
Lineage: Bacteria; Candidatus Peregrinibacteriota; Candidatus Peribacteria
Also listed under: 7 other names
Description: tRNA-Arg
Rfam family: tRNA
About the family: Transfer RNA (tRNA) molecules are approximately 80 nucleotides in length.
Source: RNAcentral